UCGAGAAGCUUCGGCAAUGGGCGAAAGCCUGACCGAGCGACGCCGCGUGAGCGAUGAAGGCCCUUGUGGUUGUAAAGUGCUGUCAUAUGGGAUUAACACGGCGCGGCGAAUAGUCUCUCCGUCUGAAAGUACCCUCAGAGGAAGCUCCGUCUAACCCCGUGCCCGCAGCCGCGGUAAUCGGGCGGGAGCGAACGUUGUUCGGAAUCACUGGGUGUAAAGGGGGCGUAGGCGGCCUUGUAUGUCGGAGGUGAAAUCUACCGGCUCAACCGGUCAAAUUGCCUCCGAAACUGCUUGGCUUGAGUCCGGAAGGGGAGGGUGGAAUUCCUGGUGUAACGGUGAAAUGUGCAGAUAUCAGGAGGAACACCGGUGGCGAAGGCGGCCCUCUGGUCCGGUACUGACGCUGAGGCACGAAAGCCAGGGGAUCAAACGGG
This 431-nucleotide ribosomal RNA is filed under the name bacterium. RNAcentral's name for it is "partial 16S ribosomal RNA". It matches the Rfam family "Bacterial small subunit ribosomal RNA", at positions 355 to 776 of the family's 1533-position model. The record is from RNAcentral.